GACAGAGGGUGCAAACGUUGUUCGGAAUUACUGGGCGUAAAGCGCGUGUAGGCGGCUACGUAAGUCUGCUGUGAAAGUCGGAGGCUCAACCUUCGAAAGCCGGUGGAUACUGCGUGACUAGAGUACGGAAGAGGAGAGUGGAAUUCCUGGUGUAGCGGUGAAAUGCGCAGAUAUCAGGAGGAACACCAACGGCGAAGGCAGCUCUCUGGGACGUUACUGACGCUGAGACGCGAAAGCGUGGGGAGCAAACAGG
RNAcentral lists this ribosomal RNA (253 nucleotides) under uncultured bacterium. RNAcentral's name for it is "partial 16S ribosomal RNA". It matches the Rfam family "Bacterial small subunit ribosomal RNA", at positions 524 to 776 of the family's 1533-position model. The record is from RNAcentral.